GGGCGUGUGGUGUAGUGGUAACACAUGGGUCUCCAAAACCUAUGACGGGGGUUCGAUUCCCUCCACGCCUG
This 71-nucleotide transfer RNA is filed under the name Candidatus Parcubacteria bacterium. Its description in RNAcentral is "tRNA-Trp". It matches the Rfam family "tRNA". Rfam says of the family: Transfer RNA (tRNA) molecules are approximately 80 nucleotides in length. Their secondary structure includes four short double-helical elements and three loops (D, anti-codon, and T loops). Further hydrogen bonds mediate the characteristic L-shaped molecular structure. tRNAs have two regions of fundamental functional importance: the anti-codon, which is responsible for specific mRNA codon recognition, and the 3' end, to which the tRNAs corresponding amino acid is attached (by aminoacyl-tRNA synthetases). tRNAs cope with the degeneracy of the genetic code in two manners: having more than one tRNA (with a specific anti-codon) for a particular amino acid; and 'wobble' base-pairing, i.e. permitting non-standard base-pairing at the 3rd anti-codon position. Lineage: Bacteria; Candidatus Parcubacteria. The record is from RNAcentral.